CGUGAAGAAAUAUGUUCCAACCUGGCAGUGAUAUUCUCUAUCUUGGACCUCAUCUCAUCAUUGAACUUAAUAGCACUUGGAGUGAAACUAGUACGACAAGAAGGGAUAAGACUCUUACUAGUGCUGGGUUGAGUUUCCGCCAUCAACUGCUGCCCCAAAGCUUGAGUGGCCAAGUCGUCCAGGAUGUCCUCCACAUCAUAAGCCAAGUCUCUGAGGUCGUCGAGCCAUUUCUUCACCGCUUGCUUUUCCAUCUGCUUCUCCUCCGCAUCCUCCAGCACGGCAUGAAUUUCCUUUAGGGUGUUCUCCCACUUGUUGAGCUCAGCACGAACUUGCACUGGGCGAGCAAAAUCGAGCAGGUCAGAGGACAACAACCUCUGAAACAGAGUUUCAAAGAAAGAAGACAGAAGAGCCUCUCCAACAAAAGCCAUGGAAGCAAGUACGAGAAAUCAAAGGCAGAGAAACGACUCAGAAUCAGAACAGCACAAGUAGAAAGCCAGACAAGGUUGGUUAUAGAGCAAUUAUAGAUUAAAAUGUCAUUCCUGUUUGACCACACCCAUAUUCAUUACUUUGUACGGUUGAGAUCCUCCAAUCAAAUUGUGAUUAUAAUUACAUACAUGAUGUUAGCACACUGUAUUAAGAUACCCUUUUAUUAAUCUAAUGAUUCGUAACAACUCCUGCAAUUGCUCUUUUAUUAAUACUCAUCACAUUAAUUAAAAAUUCAUCUAAAAUGUAAGGAAUCUCCAACAAAUUUCUUGAUGUGUGUGUGCAUAUUUUUAUAUUACAAGUGGGUUUCCUACUCUAUAUUUUAUUAUUAAUCUUAACAGUUGCCCUUUGUCCCCAUCUAAUUUGGAUCAAUAAUAUUGUCGGCCAACAUCAGUUUGUAAACACAAAAAACAUACGAAUUAAUCUUAGCCGCUGCCCUUUGUGUAGGGAAUUAAACCAAAUUCCCAACCCGUGAGAAACAAAAAUUAGAGAAAACACACGCCAAAGAAAAACAAUCACACGCACAAGACAGUAUUUACGUGGUUCGGCAAUUUGCCUACGUCCACGGAGUUGCAGGGAUAUCACUAUUAUCAGGGAAGAAUACAGAGUACGACCUAGCGGCUACAAUAUUCUCUAUAUAUAUAUAUAGCACGGCAACCCUACCAUACUAAAAAACCCUAAUUACAAAAGGUGGUUCCACAAUGGGUUAAACGGGCCCAACAGGCCUCAAUAAAUCUCCCAUUAAAAAGUCAUGCAAUAUUAUUCGGGUCGGGUCGUCAAAUCUGAUCAAACAAAACUAGGCUCCACAAAGCCCAACAAAUCUCCCACUUGGAGACUAGUCCAAUCACCAACAUCAAACCGCUAUCCUCCAAGAAACAAUCCCUCAUCCCUACAACUCAUCCUCCUGUCCUCAAGCUAGAAGACCAAUUGAAGCUGUACACAGCUUCAACUUCUCAAUAGUGACACCCUUAGUCAACAUGUCUGCCGGGUUCUUAGAUCCACAAAUCUUCUCAAGUAUUACUAGUUUAUCUUCAACAAGAUAACGGAUAAAGUGGUAUUUUGUUUGUAUAUGCUUCGACUUUGAAUGAAAAGCCGAAUUUUUGGCAAGAAAAAUUGCACUCUGGCUGUCACUGUGUAGAAUGCCCAUCUCCUGCUUCUUACCCAAUUCAUCUAAGAAACCAUGUAGCCAAAUCAUCUCCUUUCCAGCUUCAGUUGCUGCAACAUACUCAGCUUCUGUAGUAGACAGAGUAACAAUCUUCUGUAGAUUUGAAGUCCAUGAUAUAACUGUACCACCUAGAGUAAAAACAAACCCAGUAGUACUCUUUCUACUAUCAAUAUCACCAGCAAAAUCAGCAUCUACAUAACCCUGCAGUUUCAAACUUGCACCUGUGAAGCAAAGACAUGUAUCUAAUGAACCCUUCAGAUAUCUUAAAAUCCACUUGACUGCCUCCCAAUGCUGCUUUCCAGGCCUACUCAUGAAUCUGCUCACAACUCCCACUGCAUGUGCAAUGUCUGGCCUUGUACACACCAUAGCAUACAUCAAGCUGCCAAUAGCUGAGGCAUAGGGCACCUUGCUCAUAUGGUCCCUUUCUUCUUCUGUCUUCGGUGACUGUUCUUUGCUUAGUUUGAAAUGACUACCCAAGGGUGUGCUCACUGGUUUAGCUUCAUUCAUGUUGAACCUGCUGAGAACUUUCUUCACAUACUCUGACUGUGAAAGUUUCAAUGUACCAUUAGCCUUGUCUCUAAUGAUUCUCAUACCAAGGAUUUGCUUUGCAGCUCCCAAAUCCUUCAUUGCAAACUGUUUGGACAAUUGCUUCUUCAGAUUAUUAAUCUUCUCAAUGUCAGACCCUGCAAUAAGCAUAUCAUCCACAUACAACAGUAAUAUGAUGUAAGAAUUGUCAAAGGACUUAACAUAGCAACAAUGAUCAGCUUCACAUCUCUUGAACCCAAUUCUAUGCAUAAAAUUGUCAAACUUCUUGUACCACUGUCUAGGAGCUUGUUUAAGGCCAUACAAGCUCUUUCUCAGUUUGCAGACUAGAUUCUCUUGUCCCUGAACAAUGAACCCUUCUGGCUGAAUCAUGUAAAGGUCUUCCUCCAAGUCACCAUGAAGGAAUGCUGUCUUCACAUCUAACUGCUCAAGAUGUAAGUUUUCUACAGCCACCAUUCCAAGUACAAGUCUAAUUGUUGACAUCUUCACAACUGGAGAAAAUAUCUCUGUGUAGUCAAUGCCCUCCUUCUGUUGGAACCCUUUAACCACUAAUCUGGCCUUGUAACGUUUGCUACCAUCAUGCUCAUUCUUUAUUCUGUAUACCCACUUGUUGUGCAAAGCCUUCUUUCCUACUGGCAAUUCAGUCAGUUCCCAUGUCUGAUUCCCCAGCAGGGAAUCCAUCUCAUCCUUCAUGGCUAACUCCCACUUGCUUGAAUUCUCAUCUUGCAAGGCUUCAUUAUAACACUCUGGCUCACCACCAUCAGUCAACAGGAGAUAAUUUAAAACAGGUGAAUAACGUUGUGGAGGUCUAAUGUUCCUGGAAGAUCUGCGAACUUCAACUACAGGUGUCCUCAAAUCUACCUUUGAAUUUACAUUCUCCUUAUCUUCUUCACCCCCUUUUUGGACAGUACUUUCAGUCAAUUCAUCUAAGUUGACAAACUCAGAUUUCUUUUGAUCUAUCUCUGUAACAUUUGACGUUACAGUUAACCUGUCCUUGUACAUAACCUGUUCAUUAAAUAUCACAUUUCUACUUCUGAUAAUUUUCCUGUUUUGUUCAUCCCAAAACCUAUAGCCAAAUUUCUCAUCACCAUAGCCAAUGAAAAAACAUAUUUUUGACUUUGCAUCAAGUUUACUACGAGCAUCAGAAUCAAUAUGAACAUAAGAAACACAACCAAAAACUUUUAAAUGUGAAAACUUCACCUCUUUACCGCUCCAAACCUCCUCAGGAAGUCUGAACUCCAUGGGAACUGAUGGUCCUCGGUUUAUCAGGUAAGCAGCAGUGCUAACAGCAUCAGCCCAAAAAGUUUUUGGUAGUCCAGCAUGCAACCUCAUACUUCUAGCACGCUCAUUGAGAGUUCUGUUCAUGCGCUCAGCCACACCAUUCUGCUGUGGUGUCCCAGGAAUGGUCUUCUCCAUCCUAAUUCCCUGUGCAGCACAAUACUCACUGAAUCCUCCAUCUAUGUACUCUCCUCCAUUAUCUGACCUCAAACAUUUUACUUUCAAACCUGUUUCUGUCUCAACCAUGGCCUUCCACUUCUUAAAAGUUACAAAUACAUCAGAUUUAUUUUUCAGAAAAUAAACCCAUACCUUUCUACUUGAGUCAUCAAUAAAGGUGAUGUAGUACCUUGAACCUCCUAGGGAUGCAACCGGAGAAGACCCCCACAAAUCGGUGUGUACUAGUUCCAAUUUUUCAGCCUUCGGUGUCCUGCCAGUUUUCAAGAAGCUCACCUUUUUUUGUUUUCCUAAGAUGCAACUUUCACACAUGUCAAAAUCAAUGGACUUCAAUUCUGGUAGUUUUCCUUUUGACAGCAACAUCUUCAUCCUUUUCUCNNNNNNNNNNNNNNNNNNNNNNNNNNNNNNNNNNNNNNNNNNNNNNNNNNNNNNNNNNNNNNNNNNNNNNNNNNNNNNNNNNNNNNNNNNNNNNNNNNNNNNNNNNNNNNNNNNNNNNNNNNNNNNNNNNNNNNNNNNNNNNNNNNNNNNNNNNNNNNNNNNNNNNNNNNNNNNNNNNNNNNNNNNNNNNNNNNNNNNNNNNNNNNNNNNNNNNNNNNNNNNNNNNNNNNNNNNNNNNNNNNNNNNNNNNNNNNNNNNNNNNNNNNNNNNNNNNNNNNNNNNNNNNNNNNNNNNNNNNNNNNNNNNNNNNNNNNNNNNNNNNNNNNNNNNNNNNNNNNNNNNNNNNNNNNNNNNNNNNNNNNNNNNNNNNNNNNNNNNNNNNNNNNNNNNNNNNNNNNNNNNNNNNNNNNNNNNNNNNNNNNNNNNNGCCCAUUCCUCAGCCUUCAUACUCUCAGGUUUUGUCCCCAAAAGAGGCAGAUGCAAUUUCCUCCCAUAGAGAUAAUCUUCAAUCUGCAUCCUCUAAUACGCAAAGUCUGUGCCAUCAAACUUUUCUAUUCCAGACGCCUUUCCUGCUUCCUCUGCCAUUGCUCCCACUCAAACCUAACCCUAGGCUCUGAUACCAGUUGUAGGGAAUUAAACCAAAUUCCCAACCCGUGAGAAACAAAAAUUAGAGAAAACACACGCCAAAGAAAAACAAUCACACGCACAAGACAGUAUUUACGUGGUUCGGCAAUUUGCCUACGUCCACGGAGUUGCAGGGAUAUCACUAUUAUCAGGGAAGAAUACAGAGUACGACCUAGCGGCUACAAUAUUCUCUAUAUAUAUAUAUAGCACGGCAACCCUACCAUACUAAAAAACCCUAAUUACAAAAGGUGGUUCCACAAUGGGUUAAACGGGCCCAACAGGCCUCAAUAAAUCUCCCAUUAAAAAGUCAUGCAAUAUUAUUCGGGUCGGGUCGUCAAAUCUGAUCAAACAAAACUAGGCUCCACAAAGCCCAACACUUUGUCCCCAUCUAAUUUGGAUCAAGAAUAUUGUCGGCCAAUAUCAGUUUUUAAACACCAAAAAAAUAGGAAUUAAUCUUAGCAGCUGCCCUUUGUCCCCAUCUAAUUUGGAUCAAGAAUAUUGUCGGCCAACAUCAGUUUUUAAACACCAAAAAAAUAGGAAUUAAUCUUAGCAGCUGCCCUUUGUCCCCAUCUAAUUUGGAUCAAGAAUAUUGUCGGCCAACAUCAGUUUGUAAACACAAAAAACAUACGAAUUAAUCUUAGCAGCUGCCCUUUGUCCCCAUCUAAUUUGGAUCAAUAAUAUUGUCGGCCAACAUCAGUUUUUAAACACCAAAAACAUACGAAUUAACUUAGGCCUGUUUUAUAACUAUUUUCAAAAAUAUUUUUUUCAUUUUUUAAAAAACCAAAACAAAAAAACACAAACUAUCUGUUUUAUAUUCUUAAAAAUAGAAAAACGGAUUGUUUUCUAUUGUUUUUAUUUGCUUUUUGAGGAUUCUUUUUAAAAAAUAAUUCUACAAAUAUGCGUAAUAAUUAAAAAUAAAACAUUAAAUAUAAAAAUUAUUUUUAAAAUAUACUUAAAAAUAUUAAAAAUAUGAUGAAAAUAUUUUAUAUUUUUAAACAUAUUUUUAUUUUAUAAAACAUAAAAAACAAUUUUUAAAAACUAUUCUAAAAAACGAUUUUCUACGUUAUCAAAUAAAAUCUUAAUGCCUCUUUCCAACUUAGAAAAGAUUUGAAACUCAUUUUAAUUUUAAAUUUAUUAAUUUUUACUUAAUUAAACUAACUUGUUAACUCCUAGGAAAAACAAAUUUUAAUUUUGAUUUUGAAUCUCACGUUGAUUUUGAUUAGUUUUAUGGGGUUCACCAAUUUGUGGGAACGUGAGGCAUUUAAUAAAAUACUCUCCAACUUGUUGGUAUCAGCAUGGAGUUGUUGGGAAUGGUGAGGGCCACACAGGGUGUAAAAGAAGAAUUUGCGUGUAAAAGAUGAAUUUGCAUUAUUGGUAGUGGAUGCACAUGCGGGGUUUAAAUAAGAGAAAAGAAACCAAAAUGGUUUUUGUAAUACAAAUUGUACAAAUAUCCAUGUUAUUAUUUAAUAACACUGCUUGAAAUUAGUCAGACGUCAUCAAACAUGUAGGCUAUGUUUGAGAGAAAAACAUGAGGGGGAAAAAUACGUAGAAAAAUAAAAAAUAGAUUAAAAGAUAAUAAAUUAUUUUUAUAUGUUUUUUUAAACUAGUUUAACUUAUUUUUGUUAAUUGGUGUGACAUAUGUAAUGAAAAAAAAUUAUGAGAUUUUUCAGGAUUAUGAUGUUUUAUGCAUAUGCCGUAGCCACUCUCUCAUCUUGUUCCAAUUUUCAACAUAGUGGAUUUCUUUCUCUAGUCAUAGUUUUUCCCAUCUAAGGUUUUCUACAUAAAUUUGUGUGUUUUUAUUCUAUUUUUUUUUUCAUAUUGUCUAUUUUGGUUUUUUUUGUGGUAGAAUUAAUAUUAGAUAAUUUCAAAUUACAUAAAUUUCUAACCAAUUUUAAUUAUAUACAUAUAUAUAUUCAUAUUUUUCGUAGUGAAACUAAACAUAAAAAAAUUAUUUUUUUAAAUAUUUUUUUUUCUUAAUACUUUUUGAGAACCAAACAUAAUCGUAAUAUUAUUUAAGUGCUUUUUUAAUACACUCAUUAUAUAUUGAUUUGUGAAAAUUGAAUUUCACACCUCAUCAAUCACUCCCAUUUUUCUUAAAUUUAUUACAUAAAAUAAAAAAAACCCAAAAUAUAUAAUCUAUCCCAUUUAGGUAGUAAAAUGUUCCCAUUGAUGCUUGGACACUUGAAAAUGGUUUGCUACACCUUUUUUAAAUUAAUCAUUAUAAGUGAUUUUGUUUACGUAUUUUAAUUACAAAACUUGUUUGAACUACAAUAUUGUACAAAGUAAAUGUGGAAAAAAAAGCCUUAAAAAAUAUAUUUAGUGACUUCACCAAAAGAAAAAGAAAAAAAUGUUUUUAAAAAAAAGAUGUUUUCAUGUUUUGUUUUAUUAUAUAAAAUAUAAAAGAAAAUCAAACAAAAUUAAAAUUAGUCAAAAAUUCAUAUAUUUUUAAAUUAUUUGAUAUUUAUAUAUGAGAGUUAAAACAAGUUAAAUGAAUUGAAGUAUGUUUUUUAUUUUUCUUUUCUUAUAGUUUUCCUUUCUAUUUUUUCUUCCAUUCUUCUUCAAAUUUUCUGAAGCCAAACAUAACCUAAAAGUUUGUAUAACACCAGGAGCUAACAUAAGAGGUGGAAUUGACCAAUUCAAAAUUAUUUUGGCAUGAUUAAUAGAACUCUUGUCCAUUUGGGGAAGUUUCUUCCUCUAUAGAAUUCGCCUAUAAACUUUGUCAGAUUUCUACGAGCUCAUAGCAAUUCAAGCACAUUCAUAUCAUUCCCUUCAUUUUGCAAAUAAUCAAAAUCACUUUUUCAUUCCACCAUUAACUCUUCAAUGUUCUCCUUUCUCUUUAAAUUAAUAUCCAUCGUAUCUCUAAUAUUUUCUAUAACUUCGAAAAAAAUAGGUAUCCUCAAAGCAACUAUGAGCUUUUUCAGAUUUCUACCUAUGAGGUCGUAGUAACUCAAGCACAUUCAUAUCGCUCCCUUCAUUUUGCGAAUCAUCAAAAUCACUUUGUCAAUUCAUCAUUAACUCUUCAAUGUUCUCCUUUCUCUUUAAAUUAGUAUCCAUUAAUAAGAUCUCCUCCACAUUAUUAAAAUAUCUAGGCUCCAUUUCCUGCAUGAUACUCUAAGGAGGCUAGGGACUCCAUCAUCCGGAUUCCAAGAGAGGUGAGAGAUGUAAGAAGAAGACACUCAUCAUUUGAAAGGAAACCAUUUCUGAGAGUACUUCUCAAAUACACAAUGACAAAAUAAGCUUUGGACUUAUGUGUUAAUAAAAAAGUAUUUUAUUUCAUUUUUUUAUACAUCAUUUUCAAUAGAAAAUAAUUCUCAUUUUCAUAAUCAAACAGGCUCUAGACUUUCUAACUUUUUUUCUCACUAGCCUAAGUAACUUAAGCAACACUGAAAAGACAACUAUAUUUUGGGUUAAGCUUCCAAUUGUGUUGAUUUUUGGAGUUGAAGUUCUAGCUGCACCUAGACAUGUACGUUUAUGGUUUCAUUUUAAGUUGUGUCAUUAGCCCCUCAUCCUCUAAGACAAAAAAAGUUUAUGACACAAGAAAUGGACAUUUGUGAAAGUAAUGAAAUUAAAGGUCCACCAAGAUUUAUGUGGAAAACCCUCCGAUAAUGAGAGAAAAACCACGGGCCAGUCUAGAAAUAAUCCACUAUGGUAAAAAGGAUAUUACAAUAUUCUCACAAUUUCUUUUUAAAAAGAAAGGAAAAAAAAAAAAACUCAGGUAUUACAACUUUUAAAAAAAUAAAAAUGUUUGAGUCACUAUACUAGAGAACCAAAUCCUGCAAAAACAUCUGUUGCUAAUGUCUAAGGAGAAAACAAGCUUCACAUUUCUUACAUUCUACACUAAGCACCAAUAUGAGAGACGGUUGAUUUUGCUUGAGCCACUACAAAUGUAAAAGCACAACAUUGACAUCGUUAAGUUGAGUUCUUCUUGGAGAGCCAUAAGUGUGAAAAUUCCUUUCAUUUUUAUGCCAUCAACUAGCAGAAAAGUCAUUAUAUGGCAAAUCCAUCAAGCUUCCACCACCUACCACCUUAUAUUCAGGAAGCACCAAAAAAAAAAGGAAAAAAUGGUUAGCCCAACUUAAUAGAAUUUGUCUAACCCAAGCAUUGCAAAUGUGAUAAUUGCCCCUAAUGUGAAAUACCCCUCAAUACUUACAUAUAUACAAACAAUGAACCAUAAAAGUGCUCAUUGAAAUUCUAAUUAAGAAGCACUUGAGCUAGUGGUAGAAAUACAAUGGCAUGAAAAUUAUGACUUACACAACAAAGAAACCUAUGAAUUCUACUCAACCAACAAAAGGGAAAACCAUCAACUAUGAUUGAGUCAAUAACAUACCGUCAUACUUUUUUUAGGAACUUAGUCUGCCACUGCAUUAUUUUUCUCCCUCCUACAUGUAGAAAAGAAGUUUCUAUUAAUUAUGGAAGUGAAACCCCAUAUUUAGACCAAGAAAAAACAGACUUUAGCAUCUGUGGUUAGUCAAGCAUACUUGGCUGAAGGAAAGAAUGAUCUAUCUCUCAACUUCUAGAGUAGGAAUAACACAAUUCAAUAUAAAUUCAUAUUUCCAAUGAGGUCAUGUUGCUGAAUGUUGGAGAUGUAGGCAAUGCUGAUCCAAGCUUUCUCCUUUCUCCUUUAAGCAAUUUUGUCUCACAACAGGAGAAUUCUGGAUUUCAAGCACUAACUGUUGCAUUCAGCUCUUCCUUCAGCAAAAAGGACUAAAGCUUAGGACAACUUGAGAUCAAUAGCACUUGAAGAAACUUUCAGCAAAAAUUAAGGUUACCUGAAGUUAGAGGAACAAGUAGAAUGAAUUUUUUAUCUGUAAAAGCCUCGUGCACCAGUGCCACUCAUAGAGAGGCGUCUCAAGCUUCCCACAAUUGAACCCAAACUAAACAAUGGGGCCAAAACCCCUUCCAGAAAUUAAAGAACACCUGAACAAUCAAGGAUCAACCUUGAUACUGGAUGUAAAAAUGGAAAAGAAAAAAAUUAAUGAACAAGAGUAAAAUAUUUAAAAAUAAAUAAAAAAAGAAAAAUGGAAAAAUGUCGAGUUGUGAUAAGUUUUGAAAUGCAUUGUGUCUUUCUACAUGUGCAGAAAAAUUAGGGAGUUAAGAUUAUUAUUCUGAUGUUAAUGGAAUUAUGGGAGUAGCUUAAUAAUGGGCUGGUCUCUGCUUCCAUUUUUGUGAUUGAAAAAUAAAAUCCAAUUUGAAAUGGAUUCAUGUGUUAAAAACCUAACUAUUUCCCUCUACAUAGGGAUGUGAAAAUCUUAGGCCAAUCAUAUUUACAUGUUAAUUUAAAUAUUUGAGAAAUUAAGAAGCCAAUACCAUUCCUAUGGACUAAAACCAACUUCAUCAAAUUGUUGGAAUAGAAAUAAGCAAAUGUGUUUGAAAGAUUGAAUGAAAAAAUCAGGUCAGUUGGAACUAAACUAAGCAAGUGCAACUAGAAAUCUUCUUAAGAUCAAACUUAAGCCACAAUAAAAUUGUUGCAACUGAAUGAAUAAUUGAGAACAACAUACUAGCAUGUGAAUUUCAUCUGUAUGAGAUUUUUUGGCGUAAGGGUGGCAUGCAAAAGGAAAUAUGAUUUAAUUAUAUAGAAAGAAAAAUACGCUAGAAACAUUUUAGAGAACAAGGAAAUAAGAUAGAUGAGAAAAGAAAAUUCUCACAAUUUUAAAAUUUAGAUGAGAAAAUUUGAAUUGCUGAACAUACCUAGUUGAAAUUAAGGAAGGGAAAGUGAUCUAUGAUUCAAUCCAGCAUCCGAUAUCGACAGUUACCUCCUGGUUACAAAAUUGCAUUAAGAUAGAAAAAUGUAAAAUAAACAAAAACUCAAAAGUAAAAAUAAAAGAAUUUGGAACUAAGUUGCGAAUGGGCAUACUUCAACUACCUCUAGAUAUGCGGGGGAUGUGGGCGACGUUGGACCAAUAUUCUCCUCCCUCCUUUAAGUACCUUUCUUCUAUGGUAGGACAAUAGUUGAUGACAAGUUUUGUAAGUGUUGCAGGAAGCGGCCCUAAGGACCGGAGGUUAGGGCAAUAUGAGAUUCCUAGGGAUCGAAGAGAGAUGAGUUUGUGGAGAUCCAAGGAGGCUAGGGAUCCCAUUCGUCUGAUUCGUAGGCUGAUGAGAGAAAUGGGAAGAAGACACUCUUCAUCGGGGAAGGAAACCAUAUUUGGAAACAUGUUCCAAAUAGUCAAUUGAGAAAGAGAGGUGAGGGUGUUGAAGCCCCACUCAGAUAUGGGUGUUUUCAGAUUCAUACAGUCACCGAUCAAAAGUGAUUUUAGGUUAGAGGCCAAACCCUCUUCCGGAAAGGACUCCAAUCCUGGGCAUUCGGAUAUGGUCAGGCUGCGCAGAGAUUUGAGGUUUCUCAUCUGAUGUGUUAGAGAUUUAAGAUUCUCACAUCUGUCAAUUUGAAGGUAUUCGAGGUUAGGGAUGGACAAGCCUCUUUCUGGAAAGCACUCCAGACCUCCAUAAUCGUUUAUGCUUAGCUCCCGAAGGCUGUCAAGGAAUCCUUGUAGACUUUUCAGAUUUGGAUACUUCUCAAGUCGUAAAUGCACUAGUGCUGUACUGUUGGGUGACAUUUUCUCUGACACUGACUCCAAGUUUGUGCAUCCCGAAAUGGAAAGGUUCUUGAGAGUGGAAGGCAACUCCCCUGUUGGAAAGGAAUUGAGAAAGGAAAAAUUCUCUAUCCACAAAUAUUCAAGACAACAAGUGUUGCUGCUGGAGGUGGAAUUGUGGUGCAUCACCCCCUCUGGUAGUGACUCUAGACUUUGACAAUCCCCAAUAUGAAGCUUCUUGAGUGUGGUGGGUAGCUCACCAUUUGGGAAGCAUUUGAGAAAUGGAGAAUACCGAAUCGACAAGUCUUCAAGCGGACACGAGUUGUAGUUAUGAGGCAGCGAUUUUAGACCCCCACAAUAGAACAACUCAAGGCGUCUUAGCAUUGGUGGGAAACCCGAAUCAGGAAAUGACUCUAGUUUGGGGCAUCUCCAUAUCAUCAGCUCUUCAAGACGUGUGAGGGUUUGCAAUCCAUUCGACAGCUUUUCCAGAUUAGCACACCCUUCUAUUCUCAAUUUUUUAAGAUUGCAAGGCAGCCAUUGCUCCUCCCACAAACAUGUCAGCCCAUCACAAUUGCAUAUCUUCAAUUCUUGCAAGGCUACCAAGGAUCUAGUAAUUCCGGUCCUCAAACAUGUCAAUCUUGAAAUCUCGAUGAGAUUUACAGUAACGAGGGAUGGAAGAUCAAACUGAGCACCUCCCAAUACUGCCUCAUCACAUUCUUUUAAAUUUAAUUCACGGAGAGAGAGAUGCAAGUUUUGGAAGCCCACACAUCAAUCCCGGACAUUCUGACACUUCAAGCUCUACUAGGGACUGCAGGCAUUUCGGUAAUUCCCCAAUCAGUUUUGGACAUUCCCUUAUCAAAAACUUUUCAAGAUGGGGAAAUGUUCCCACAUCUUCCUUGAUGAAAUUAGAAUGAGACCAAUUUUCCCAUUCUGGCAUAUCCUCAAACCUCAACUCCUUCAAAGAUGCAAAAGGAUUCAUACUCUCUCCAUAAAAUUCAGCACCUAUGCUUUUAACUUGGCUCAUACCUUCAAUACACAAAACCUUGAGCACCGAUAGUCCACCCAGAUUUGGUAAUAACACGGAUUUUUUGCAAUUUUUGAGAGUUAGUUCCACCAUUACUGAGAAUGAGGGAUAUCCUAACCAACUUGGAAAUUUGGAUCCACCAUAAAAUGCAAUUGUGAGCCUUCUUAAAUUUUCACGAGGCUGCAGGGACUCCAAGACACGUAAUUCACGUUUAUCGUUUCGUGCAUCCCAACAACAAUAACGACUCCACUCCAUGGUCAACAAGACACGCAAUUUUUACUUAAGAAAACUAACUUGUUAAGUCUUAGGAAAAUCAAAUUUUAAUUUUGAUUUUGAACCUCACGUUGAUUUUGAUUAGUUUUAUGGGGCUCACCAAUUUGUGGGAAUGUGAGGCAUUUAAUAAAAUACUCUCCAACUUGUUGGUAUCAGCAUGGAGUUGUUGGGAGUGGUGAGGGCCCAGACAGGGUGUAAAAGAUGAAUUUGCGUGUAAAAGAUGAAUUUGCAUUGUUGUUAGUGGACGUAUAUGUGGUGUUUAAAAUAAGAGAAAAGAAACGAAAAUGGUUUUUGUAAUACAAAUUGUACACUAGAAUAUCCAUGUUAUUAUUUAAUAACAUUGCUUGAAAUUUUUCAUAAGUCAUCAUAUAGUGGAUUUCCUUCUCCUCUCUGCUCAUGAUUUUUUCUAUUUAAGGUUUUUCACAUAAAUUUAUAUCUUUUUAUUCUAUUUUUUUUUCAUAUUGCCUAUUUUUGUUUUUCCAUGGUAGUAUUAAUAUUAAAUAAUUUCAAACUAUAUAAAUUUCAAACUAAUUUUAAUUAUAUUUUAUUUUCUUUCAUAUUUUUCAUAGUAAAACUAAACAUAAGAAAACUAUUUUUCUUAGUAUUUUUUCCUUAAUACUUUCUAGGAACCAAACAUAAUAAUAACCUUAUUUAAGUGCUUUUCUAUUUCACAACUAAUUGACACUGACUUUUGGGUGUAAAUGUCGUCUAGUCCAUCGCUCAAGCAUCAGGUGUGAUUAAUCAUUUGUUCAAUGCCCGAAAACUUCGAUUGGGUUGAUUUGUUUGUCUAAAAGUCCUAGUCAGCUUGGUCUGUUCAUUCCAUCUGGCAUUGUAGAAGAAGGAAAUCUUCUCACCUCUUACACCAGACGGAGCUUAUCUUGGCCCAAAUAAAGUGAUCCUAGACAGAUUAUCUACUUACCUUGGCCGACCAAAGGGUCUUAAGUUUGGGGAGGCCACGUGGAGGCAAGCGCUCCCUACAAUGCCCUCUAAUUUGUUUGCUAUGCUCGAUCGGGUAGCUGACUGGUUGAGGUAGGACGAAUUAUCUGUUUUUUCAAGUUUUUGGGCACCAAGGAAUGCGUGUCAUUUAGGGUUUUAAUAAUGUGUCACAUCAAUCAAGGCUAGUUGUUCAACGGUGUGUCUCUUUAUUUGGCUUUGGAAAGCAUUGCCAGGCGACAUGUCCCUUGGAGUGCCUAGGUUUUUUGUUCCCUAUAAAUAGUAAAGCUCCACACUUUUGGGUCACCUUUUCACUUUCUCCCGUUUCAGAGUUCUCUUGCCUGUGCUGCUCUUUCCCUGCCAUUGGUCUUGCCACCAGCUAUUCUUUUUUGCUUUCAUCACCGUUGUCAACUGGUUUGCCACCGUAGGAACUCUUAUUCGCUAGAGAGCGUCUUCAGUUUUGGUUUUGGUAAGUUUUCUACCGUCUGUUCGUUCCUUUGUUGUGUUUGCAAUUGUUCCUUGGGUUGUAUUAUUCUUGUUUGUUUAGAGAGAAAAUGGACAUACCGAUGUCCAGAUUCUAGAUUUUUCUUUUUGUGUUUUCUUGAUCGUUCUUGUUGCUUAUUUGGGGGAGGAAACAGGUGUACCGAUAUCCAAAUCUAAGGUUUUUCAGUGUCCCCGCUUGCUUCUAUGUCGUCAUUGUGUUUAUGUCAUCGGUUCAUGCUUUUUUGUUGUCAUCACGUUGGGGCGAUGGGCAUGACUCUUCCUUUAUCAUUGGCCAAGAGACUUGCUUUGCAAGUUUCGAUAGCCAAAUUCGUCUAGGUUCGGACUAUGGUCUGUCUAGGCACAUUUUUGUAUUGUUGAAGCAACGCUGAAAGGCGGAUUGGCCAACGCAGGUUUCUAUAUGACCCAAAUCCACUUAGUCUAAUGGAAUAAGGGGAAGUUGUUUCUACCAGCGGAAGGCCUCAACAAAGUGGACAGAAAAAUACUAGAGUCGGGCACCUUAGACCGAACCGUCCAGUUGCUGUCUUAUCCAAGCAAAAAUUUCAAGCUCGUUUUCACAUUAUGGACACUAUCUUAAUUCAGUUAACUAAUGGUGAGGCUCUAUUCUCUGCUAACCUUCCGAACUACAUGAUGUAUUUCACCAAGGAGUGGUUUGCUAAUGGGCUUUGUUUACCCAUUCCUUCCUUCUUCAAACAAUACCUUCAUUUCACGCAAAUCCUCCCAACUUUUCUUCAUCCGAAUAUUGUCCGAUUAUUGAUAGGGUGUAGCGUGUUGGAUAUGCUCUUCCAAUUGGAUCUUUCCCUAUUGGAAGUCUCGUUCAUCUAUACUCUGAAAAUGAGCCAAAAUGAAAGGUUCAGCUUAUCCGCCCAUAUUUCUUCCCUCCAACUAGUGAUUGGUAUUCCAAAUUCAUGUAAAGGCUAGGUCAAGGAGCAUGUUUUGGUGUCUGAGCCUUAGAGUGGUUCAUAUGAUGGUCCAGACAGAGUUUUUUCUCCACAACGUUCGUUGAAGAUUCCGAGUAAGCUAUGCUUUUGUCACUUUCUUUAUACCUUGCUAUUAUUUCCUCUUUUUUGUGAAUCUACUCACGAUCUUUCUGUUCGUCUAAUGCAGGUAAGGAGAGGCAGGAACACAUUGUAAAGUGGGUGGAAAAGGCUUCAUUUGCCCAUCUAAACAAGUUGUUCGAAAUAGACGUUGUUGAAUGGGCUUACAAAGUUCUCGUCUUGGACAAAAACCUUUUGGCACUGAUUGGCAGUCCUAAGUCGUUUAUCAUUCUUAUGUUUCCCUGGCUAACCCCUUCGUCUCUGGUGCUUGGUGAACACUUCGUGCUAAAGGAUUUGCCUUUCUACGAAGUUGCUCGUUUGGCAGAUUCUGAGGCACGCUAGGCUCGUUAAGAGGAACGGGAGAAAAAACGCCAAGAAGGGACAUUGAGGCAAGUGCCAGUUGCUAGACGUUCGUUUUCCAACUCCGUUGUCCGUCCACCUGCUUAGAAAAAGAAAAAGACUAUGGCUCGUCCUAUUCAAAAGGCGAGGACUCCACCUCCUGUCUCCCCAUAUUCAUCGUCAGCUUCAUCUUCUUCUUCCUCUAUGUCUUCUUCAUCUUCUAGAAACAAACCAGAAGCAGGGGUUAUGCAACCUAUGCCUCCUAUUAUUUGUGAAGAAGAGGAAGAGAAGGAGGACAUGGCUUCCAACUUGAGGACCAGAUUCCACAAGAGGCACCGUAAGCGUCUGUCCGAAUCCAUUACUGUCAUUCCUUCUCUUUCGAAGAAAGCCUGCCUGGAACCUACCCUAAAUCCUCCGUCCAAGUCAACAUUGUUGACCACUACUGUAGUUGUCACUUCAAAAUCGAAUAAGAAAUCUCCCUUUGUUGAAUGCUGAAUAUGGAGUAUUAUAUUGUUGUCCCAAUGCAUCACCACCAGUCACCAUUUGAACUCCAGGGGUUGCAUGGAUGAAUGCUGGAUUUCCUGGCCCCCCUUGCCAUGAUGCCGGAUUAACUGAAAUGAAACCAAUCACAAAAUUUGAAUGAUCCUCAGCAAUUUUUGCUGCUGCAGUUGUGUAGUCUCCCUUGGCAAGGUUACCAGAAGAACUCAUUUCUGCAACAAGCAACAGGCCCCUACCACGAGGCAAACCCUACAAACAUUGCAAGAGUAAUAAGAAAUUAGAGAAACAAUAGUUCUAAGGCUUUUCUACAAGUCCAGACUAAUAUUAGGUUAAACUAUUAAUGCAAACCUUCAGUUUCAGACCAUCCACAAUUCCAGGACCAGAGAUUAUGUGAGCAUUAACUAUAUCUGCCCAGUCCAAUAUCCGAAAGAUACCUCUGCAAAUAGUAGUGCCAAGAGCUGUUAAGAAAAUGUAAGAAAAGCAACAGAAAAAGAAAUUAAGACAUACCAGAUGCAAGAAAAGUGAGACUCACCCUUCAUACUGCAUGGUCACUGUGUUACCAAUGUCAGCAAACUUACGAUCUUCAAAGAUUAAGAAGUUAUAUCUCUCUGCAAUCUUCAAAAGGAUUAAACAUAGAAUCAACAAUAACUUAACAAUAACUACAAUAAGACUACCCAAUAAGCUAAUGACAAAACUCAAAACUUUGGAACUGCUAUUGCAUAAGGAACAUUGAUGCCUGACAAUUCAAAGACAAGGAAAGCAAAUAGAGAAUAUCUAUGCUUACAGGCCUAUUCUUUCUAUCAGAGCCUUUUUUUUUUUUUGGUUUUGUUUUAGGUAAAUCUUUGUCCCUACUAGGACUUGAACCUAGCACCUCCCACAAACCCUCCCCAUCCCUUUACCACUUGGGCCAGGCCUCAAGGGCUUCUUUUUAUCAAAGCUUAUAAGCCUAAUUUAAUUCCAAAAGAGAUGAUACAAUAAAAAUAAUGAAAAUUUCCCCUAAAUAAUGCUAUAUGGCCUAUGGGAAACAGAGAAAGAAAGCUUUUCCAUGUUAACCAUUUUAACAAUAUAUGAAAACAAAGAAGAUUUCCAAAUGCUACAUCCCAUUAACUAAAAAGAUAAAUCAUUUCUCUCUCUAUUUGCUACUUUAUACAUGUCAAGCUACAUGGCUUCCAUAAGAAGACAUGAAAAUGGAUAUUAUUUAGCAAAUUUAUUAUGGUAAAGAAAGAUUGAGUUUAAUUGAGAACAAUAUGAGUUAAGAGGUAAACUGGUAAAGAGAGGUCUAUAGUGAUCUUAUGUUUUCAGAACCUAUCAUCCAAACUGAAUGUGGAAGCUAUAACUUUUAACAUAUUUUCAGGUUGAGAGUGGGAAAAUGUCAAGGAGGCAAUGGUGGACUGUGGAAAGUGAUCAAGAGAUGAGGUUCGCAAUUGUGCAUCGUUUCGGUAUCUUGUUUUAUGAUGAUGUUCUGAGAUAUAAUUCAUAAGGGUACUAUAAAGCACUUUCAGACUUUUCAGAAAACUGAACCUUCUCCAUUUUUAUGAUUAUAGGGCAGGAAGAAAAGUUUUCAGGGUGAAUUAUUGCAUUGACAUUUUUUUUAAUUAGUUGCCAUUAUAUAAAUGGGUCACCCACCUCAACCCCAUUUCUUGUGCCCUUAAUCUAUUUGAUUAAUCACUGACAAAAAAAAUUUCAUUGCCACCAAAUUUAUGUGCAUGUGCGUGUGCAUGUUAGGAAUAUAUAUAGAUCACCAAUCCAAUAAAAGAAUAUACAUACAUACACACAUACAUGUAUAUAUAUAUAUAUUCAGGGCAGGUCUCCUGUACCAUUGAAUUUCAAUGAUGCCAUAAUGUAGCCCAUCAUUCAAAAUGGGGCCAUUAAAGAAAUGUGAGGCAUCAACAGCAUUGCUGGUAUAGGAUUGAUUAGUAGGAUUCCACAAAAUGGCGUCAAUUCAAACCUUUACCAUCAUUAGUGAUAUUUGGACCCCCUUUAAAAUGGGGGGCAAUUUAGUUCUUCAAGUUUUAUGCGAAGCGCAAUAGAACAGUCCAAUGCAAUGUGGAAAAAUUUUGCUCACUACAUGCAGUAGAUAAUCUGUGCAUGCUACAACUAUCCAUAAUGCAAAGAAACAGAGUGCUCAUCUUGUACAAGGCAAACUCAUUCCAAACAGUAAAAUAUUCAAAAAGAGAAAACAAUAAAAACCUGGUCAAAGGAAACUUAAAGUAUAUCCAUACCGAUCGAAGUUUGGAACCAAAAUCGGGGGUGAAAUCCGGGAAUAUGUCUACAUGGGUUUUCAAUAAGCAGAUCUCUGGCCCAACCUGCAAGAAUAUCCAAGGCAGCAUCAGCAACAACAGGUAACUUUUAGCCUAGUAGAUUCUACAUUUCUUUUCAAAUAUUCUCCUCACCAAAAUGCUGUACUAUGUUGUGAACUAAACAUUACAAUUUUAACUUGAAAAUUUUAUUUGAGGAUUUUCUCCUAUUUCACAAUAUUAACUUGAAGAUAACAACAUGAGCCACAAAAAAUGGAAACUCAAUCUUCUAAUUUCAAUGUCAAUGCCACAGCAGGUGUUCCGCCAAUCUUAAAUUCACAUUUUCAGGAAGAUCCAACUGAAAUCAACAUGUCAUAGGCUUGAACAUCAAAAGCCAAGGGCAGGCUGAAACGAUAUUUUGGACAAGAAAUUCACGUCCAAUGUAGGCUCGAAUACCAAAAUCUGGGCCAAGCCGAAAAACUGGUUGGGCCUAAAACUUUAUGGCCAACCAGGCUGAGCCCAAAAAUAGUUCAGGCAUCUUUUGGGCACUCUGAUCAAACACAGCUCAAAAGCAAGUGGGACCAAUCUGGGGAGAGUGGCUCCAGAGCAGAUGCUUAUACUAUGAUCAGAGCAUGUCACGGCCCCAGUAGAAUUAACAUUUCCCCCUACUACACAUCUCAAAACCUAAGGGAAUGAUAAAAUACCCAAUACCUUGCCUAAAGAUAUUCUUAUAUUCAAAUACCUAAGCCACGUGAAAAGGUGAAAAAUAUAAAUUAAUUUCUCAUUUUCUCUGUUUGGUUGCUGAGAAAAUACAAUAAAAGAACAGGAAAGACUCAUCUCUUAAUGAUUUGGGACCUCAAAGCACUCCAAUCUUCUAUCACCUAAGCUUGAUUCAACUUCAGAUUUUUUCACUUCAAGCCAAACAAAUAAUGCUUGUUUGAAGAUUUUACCAAGAAACCAAAAAACAUUAAAAAAAAUUAAAAAAGAACAAAAUUUUGUGUAGCCGAACUUGACGGCAGAAAUUUCAUGGAGCUUCAGGAUGAGAGACUCCAUUGAUGAUGAUGCUGCCGAGCUUGUCAUCCCUUCACCCUCUUCAAUCGCCUGUGAGGAGAAGAAAGACUCAUGUUUGGUGUAGCCUUUAAAGCACCGAGGGCAUCCAAAUUUUGUGAAUAUUUUAUAUAUCUAUCAAAAAUUAAAUUAUUAUUUUAUCUGAAAAAAAAAUUAUUCCAAAAUUUCUAAAAUAAAUAUUUAAAUUAUUUUAUUUUUUAUCAAGAAAUAUUAUAAAAUAUAAAAAUAUUUUCUGUUCUUCAUAUUUAACUUUGGUUUGUCUCUUUUUAGUUAAUUAAUUUUUUAGCUUAAUUGUUAAAAAUUAAAAAAAAUUUCAAAUCUUCUCCAUGGAAGAUAAGAAAUUUAUUUAUUUAUAUUAAUCAAUUUAAUUUAAAUCAUCAUUAAUAUUUUAAUAAUUAAAUAUUAUAUAAUUUAAUCUUUUUAUUUUUAUAAGUAAAGUUACGUAUCAAAAAUUUAAAUAAGUCUAUAACUUAGAUAGAUUGGUCAAAUUGAUGGAUAACUCGAGUCUAACUCGAAUUACAAAACAAUUAAUUCAAAUCCAACUUAACCCAACCUAAUCGCUAUCUCAAGGUAUUCAAUGUAAGCCCACCUCAAUUUUAUUUUUCUAAAUUUGGAUUGAAUUCGGAUUUGUUAAAUUAAACCCGAGUCAGUUGGAUUGAUUGGAUUACAUGUUUCAAAAUCUACUUAUAGUGAUUUUUAAAAAACAUUUAUAUAUAUAUAUAUAUAUAAAUUUAGAUAUUAAAUAAGACAAAAUUUUUAAAUAACAAUAAAAAAAAUAAAUUAAAUUAACUUGUAUAUCUUUCUAAAAAAUUGAAAAAGUAUAUGAAUAUAAUUAUAACUUGAUAUCUUUAAAAUUUAAAGAUAAUAGGCAUUAUAAAUAUAAUAAAAAAAAAUAAAUUGGAUUAAGUUCAGGUUAUUUGAAUCUUGACUUGAGCCUAACCUAAAUUGAAAUUGGGUUGAAAAAACUUAACCCGAGUUUAACCUUGAUAUUUGUCUAAACUCACUUAAACAUUGAGUUGGACCAUAUCAACCCACCCAAAUUCCACCUAAGGUGAAUUUAUCACAUCAAUUUAACUUAAUCACUUUUAAGUUUGUAUUAAAGUUUAGUGGUUUGAGAAGUAUUUUAUAAAAAAUGAUAUCUAUUAAAUAGUAUUUGAAAAUCACUUUUAAGCCAUUUUCAAGAUUUUAAAAAGCAUUCCAAGUCUUUCCGAACCACUCCUCAAUUUUUCUACUAUAGAGUGUGGGUUCAAAGUGACUUUUAUGGCUAUCAAAAUAUCCUAUGAAAAUCAUGUUUUAAAUAAAUAUUCAAAAUAAUAACAAAUUUAUUAGAAAUUAUAUUUUGAAACUUCGAAUUUAACACAAUGGAUUAAUUGCUUUGUUUGGAAAUUGUAAUUUAAAAUUAGAACUUUAAUAUAAAAAUAGUGUUUUAAAAAUAAUAUUUAAAAAUUUUUAUUUUUAAUUUGAAUUUUUUAAUUAUGAUUUAAAAUUAAUUAAAAAAAAUGUUACUUGCAUUUUUAGGGUAUUCGCUAACAAAGUCUAUCCACUUUCAAGGGUAAGGCUUUCUAGUGGCCACUUCAAUGGAGGAUUGCAUUUUCUUUUGAGAUUUACUCAUAUUCAACAUUUCAUACAUUUUUCUUUAAAUAUUCUAUAUAAAAUGGAAAACUCUAUAAAUUUUAGUUUAAAAUUUAAUAAUUUUUAAAAAUAGUUUAAAACAAAUUAAAGUAUUAAAAAAAUUUAUUACCUAAAUCUUAAAAAAAAAUUAAAUAUAAUUUUUAAAGUCAUAAGGUGAGUUACAAUAAGAGCUAUUUUAUAUUAUAUUGAAGUUAUUAUUAUUUUUAUUUUAAAAAUAAAAAAUAGGAAAUAUAUUGGUUUUUUAUUAUAUUUUUGAGGAUAAGUGUGUUUAUUUAAUUUUUCAAAAAGAGAAAAAUGAAAACCGAAGUUAAGGGAAAUGUCAUUAGGAAAAUUGUGUUUCAUUCACUUAGAAAAAAAGAUUAAAAUUUUUAUAAAAAUAAUUCAAGUUUUAUGUACUCAUCGGUCAAAUGUAAUAUUUAAGAUGAUCAAAUGUAGUAAUUAUUUCUUUAAAAUAUUGUAUCUAGUUAAAAGUAAUAGCUUUGAUCGAAAAAUGUACAAAAUCUUAAUUAUUUUUACACACAUGUAUGAAUUUUGAAUUUUAUAAAGUUAAGUUCUUAAUUAUGAUUUUUCUAAAAUAAGUGUGACUUUGAUGAUGAUGGCUUUUGACCAUGUAGUUGACACUAUGUGCAAAGCAAAUAAUUCAAUAUACAUGGAAUUUUCUCACAAGGUCAUGUUGUUGAAUGUCAAAGAUGUAGGCAAUGCUGAGACAGAAUUCCUCAUUUCUCCUUAAAAACACCUCUGUCUUAGGAUUUCAACCAUUGGGUGUUGAAUGUCACCCAGGUAUGUGGUGAAGAAACUUACACAUUCGCUAUAUUUAUGAGAAGACAUCAUAAUGGUCAAUUCUUACAUAGAAUUGGGGCGUUUCCAGGUUGUGACACCUUCCAACAACAAGUGAUGUUAGGUUGGGGGGCAAAUCCCCAUAUCCUUAGCCCUUUAAGAGAUUUGAGGCUUCUCAUUUGGAAUGGCAGGGAUUUCAGAUUCUCACAACUGUUAAUUUGAAGUUGUGGGAGGUUGGUUCUCAUAUCCUUGGGUUUGAUACACCUCAUUUCUAAAUUAACAUAUAAAUAAAAUAUAUAUUUUUUAAUUUUUCUUUCCAAACAAGAAAAAAGAAAAGAAAACCUAUUUUACAUCUUGACUAAUCUAACCUCAAAUUAAUUUCAUGACAUUACACCUUUUUUAAGUUAAUCAUUAUAAGUGAUUUCGUUUACAUAUUUUAAUUACAAAAUUUGUUUGAAGUACAAUAUUGUACAAAGUAAAUGUGGAAAAAAAAAGCCUUAAAAAACAUAUUAAGUGACUUCUGUCCAAAGAAAAAGAAAAAAUAUUAAAAAAAAAAGAAAGAAGAUGUUUUCAUGCCUUAUUUUAUUAUAUAACAUAUGAAAGAAAUCAAAUAAAAUUAAAAUUAGUUAAGAAUUUAUAUAUUUUUAAAUUAUUUAAUCUUUAUAUAUAAAAAUUAAAAUAAGUUAAAUGAGUUGAAGUAGCGUUUUUAUUUUUAUUUUAUUUUAUUUUAAAUGAGUUGAAGUCAAACAAAGCCUAAAAGUUUAAGAAUACCAAGAGCUAACAUGAGAGGUGGAAUUGACUAAUUCAAAAUUAUUUUGGCUUGAUCGAUAGAACCCUUGUUUAUUUGGGGAAGUUUCUUCCUCUAUAGAAUUUUGCAAAUCAAGCACAUUCAUAUCAGUCCCUUCAUUUUGCAUAUCUUCAAAAUCACUUUGUCAUUCCAUCAUUAACUCUUCAAUGUUCUCCUUUCUCUUUAAAUUAGCAUCCAUCAAUCAGAUAUCGUCUACUUUAUUAAAAUAUUUAGGCUCCAUUUCUUGCAUGACGUUCCAAGGAGGCUAGGGACUCCAUCAUCCGGAUUCCAAGAGAGGUGAGAGAUGUAAGAAGAAGACACUCAUCAUUUGAAAGGAAACCAUUUAUGAGAGAACAUCUCGAAUACGCAAUGACGAAAUAAGCUUGGGACUUACGUGUUAACACAAAAAACAUUUUAUAUCAUUUUUUUAUACAUUAUUUUCUCUCACUAGCAUAAGUAACUUAAGAAGCACUAAAAAGACAGCUAUAUUUUGGGUUAAGCUUCCAAUUGUGUUGAUUGCUGGAGUUGAAGUUCUGGUUGCACUUAGACAUGUACGUUUAUGGUUUCAUUUUAAGUUGUGUCAUCACCCCUUCAUCCUCUAAGACAGAAAAGUUUGACACAAGAAAUGGACAUUUGUGAAAGUAAUGAAAUUAAAGGUACACCAAGAUUUACGUGGAAAACCCUCCAAUGAUGAGGGAAAAACCACGGGCCGAUAUAGAAAUAAUCCACUAUGGUAAAAAGGAAAUUACAAUAUUCUCACAAAUUUCUUUUUAAAAAGAAAGGAAAAAAAACUUGAGGUAUUACAACUUUUAAGGAAAUAAAAAUGUUCAAAUCACCAUACUAGAAAACCAAAUCCUACAAAAACAUCUGCUACUAAUGUUUAAGGAGAAAACAAACUUCACAUUUCUUACAUUCUACACUAAGCACCGAAACCAAAGACGGUUGAUUUUUCUUGAGCCACUACAAAUGUAAAAGCACAACAUUGACGUCCUUAAGUUGAGUUCUUCUUGGAGAGCCAUAAGCGUCAAAAUUCCUUUCAUUUUUAUGCCAUCAACUAGCAGAAAAGUCAUUGCAUGGCAAAUCCAUCAAGCUUCUACCACCUACCACCUUAUAUUCAGGAAGUACCCAAAAAAAAGGAAAAAAGGGUUAGCCCAACUUAAUAGAAUAUGGCUAACCCAAGCAUUGCAAAUGUGAUCAUUGCCCCCAAUGUGAAAUGCUUGUCAACACUCACAUAUACACAAACAAUGAACUAUAAAAGUGCUCAUUGAAAUUCUAAUUAAGAAACACUUGAGCUGGUGGUACAAAUACAAUGGCAUGAAAAUAUGACUUACACAACAAAGAAACCUACGAAUUCUACUCAACAAACAAAAAGGAAAACCAUCAACUAUGAUUGAGUCAAUAAUAUACCGUCAUACUUUUGUUAGGAACUUAGUCUGCCACUGCAUCAUUUUUCUCCCGCCUACAUGUAGAAAAUAAGUUUCUAUUAAUUAUAGAUGCGAAACCCCAUAUUUAGACCAAGAAAAAACAGACUUAAGCAUCUGUGGUUAGUCAAGCAUACCUAGCUACAGGAAAGAAUGGUCUAUCUCUCAACUUCUACUGUAGGAAUAACACAAUUCAAUAUAAAUUCAUAUUUCCAAUGAGGUCAUGUUGUUGAAUGUUGGAGAUGUAGGCAAUGCUGAUCCAAAUUUUCUCCUUUCUCCUUUAAGCAAUUUUGUCUCACAAUAGGAGAAUUCUGGAUUUCAAGCACUAGCUGUUGCAUUCAGCUCUUCCUUCAACAAAAAAUACCAAAGCUUAGGACAACUUGAGAUCAAUAGCACUUGAAGAAACUUUCAGCAAAAAUUAAGCUUACCUGAAGUUAGAGGAACAAGCAGAAUGAAUGUUUUAUCCGUAAAGGCCUGGUGCACCAGUGCCACUCAUGGAGAGGCGUCUCAAGCUUCCCACAAUUGAACCUAAACUAAACAAUGGGGCCGGCCAAACCCCCUUCCAGAAAUUACAAAACACCUGAACAAUCAAGGAUCAACCUUGACACUGGAUGUAAAAAUGGAAAAGAAAAAAAUUAAUGAACAAAAGUAAAAUAUUUAAAAAAAAUAAAAAAGAAAAAUGGAAAAAUGUCGAGUUGCGAUGAGUUUUGAAAUGCACUAUGUCUUUCUACAUGUGCAGAAAAAUUAGGGAGUUAAGAUUAUUAUUAUGAUGUUAAUGGAAUUAUGGGAGUAGCUUAAUAAUAGGUGGGUCUCUGCUUCCAUUUUUGUGAUUGAAAAAUAAAAUCUAAUUUGAAAUUGAUUCAUGUGUUAAAAGCCUAUCUAUUUCCUUCUACAUAGGGAUGUGAAAAUCUUAGCCCAAUCAUAUUUACAUGUUAAUUUAAAUAUUUGAGAAAUUAAGAAGUCAGUACCCUUUCUAUAGACUAAAACUAGCUUCAUCAAAUUGUUGGAAUAGAAAUAAGCAAAUGUGUUUGAAAUAUCGAAUGAAAAAACCAGGUCAAUUGGAACUAAACUAAGCAAGUGCAACCAGAAAUCUUCUUGAGAUCAAACUUAAGCCACAAUAAAAUUGUUGCAACCGAAUGAAUAAUUGAGAACAACAUACUAACAUGUGAAUUUCAUCUGUAUGAGAUCUUUUGACGUAAGGGUGGCAUGCAAAAGGAAAUAUGAUUUAAUUAUGUAGAAAGAGAAAUACACUAGAAACAUUUUAGAGAACAAGGAAAUAAGAUAGAUGAGAAAAAAGAUUCUCACGAUUUUAAAAUUUAGAUGGGAAAAUUUGAAUUGUUGAACAUACCUAGUUGAAAUUAAGGAAGGGAGAGUGAUCUAAGAUUCAAUCCAGAAUUCGAGAGAAACCUCCUGGUUACAAAAUUGCAUUAAGAUAGAAAAACGUAAAAUAAACAAAAACUAAAAAGUAAAAAUAAAAGAAUUUGGAACUAAGUUGCGAAUGGGCAUACUUCAACUACCUUUAGAUAUGCGGGGAAUGUGGGCGACGUUGGACCAAUAUUCUCCUCCCUCCUUUAAGUAUCUUUCUUCUAUGGUAGGACAAUCAUAUAUGUCAAGUUCUGCAAGUGUUGCAGGAAGCGGCCCUAAGGAUCGGAGGUUAGGGCAAUUUAUGAUAUGUAAGAAUCGAAGAGAGAUGAGGUUGUGGAGAGCCAAGGAGGCUAGGGAUUCCAUUCCUUUGAUUUUAAGGGAGGUGAGAGAAAUGGGAAGAAGACACUCUUCAUCGGGGAAGGAAACCAUAUUUGGAAACAUGUUCCUAAUAGUCAAUUUAGAAAGAGAGGUGAGGGUGUCGAGGCCCCACUCAGAUAUGGGCGUUUUCAGAUUCUUACAGUUAGCGAUCUCAAGUGAUGUUAGGUUAGGGGCCAAACCCUCUUCCGGAAAGGACUUCAAUCCUGGGCAUUCGGAUAUGGUCAAGCUGCGCAGAGAUUUGAGGUUUCUCAUUUGAUGUGUUAGAGAUUUAAGAGUCUCACAUCCCUCAAUUUCAAGGAAUUCGAGGUUAGGGAUGGACAAGCCUCUUUCUGGAAAGCACUCCAGACCUCCACAAACAUUUAUUCUCAGCUGCCGAAGGCUGUCAAGGCAUCCUUGUAGGCUUUCCAGAUUUGGAUACCACUCAAGUUGUAAAUACUCUAGGGCUGUACUGUUGGGUGCAAUUUUCUGUGACACUGACUCCAAGUUUGUGCAUCGAACAAUAGUAAGUUUCUUGAGAGUAGAGGGUAACUCCCCUGUUGGAAAGGAAUUAAGAGAGGAACAAUUCCUUAUCCACAAAUCUUCAAGACAACAAGUGUUGCUGCUGGAGGUCGAAUUGUGGUGCAUCAGCCCCUCUGGUAGAGACUCAAGACUUUGACAAUCCCAAAUAUAAAGCUUCUUGAGUGUGGUGGGUAGCUCACCAUUUGGGAAGCAUUUGAGAAAUGGAGAACCGUAAAUCGUCAAGACUGCAAGCGGACAUGAGUUGUAGUUAUGAGGCAGCGAUUUUAGACCCCCACAAUAGAACAACUUAAGGCGUCUUAGCAUUGGUGGGAAACCCGAAUCAGGAAAUGACUCUAGUUUGGGGCAACUCCGUAUCUCCAGCUCUUCAAGACGUGUGAGAGUUUGCAAUCCAUUCGACAGCUUCUCCAGAUUAGCACAAUCACGUAUUUCCAAUUUUUUAAGAUUGCAAGGCAGCCAUUGCUCCUCCCACAAACAUGUCAGCCCAUCACAACCGUGUAUCUUCAAUUCUUGCAAGGCUACCAAGGAUCUAGUAAAUCCGGUCCUCAAACAUGCCAAUCUUGAAAUCUGGAUGAGAUUUACAGUAACGAGGGAUGGAAGAUCAAACUGAGCACCUCCCAACACUGCCUCAUCACAUUCUUUUAAAUUUAAUUCACGGAGAGAUGCAAGUUUUGGAAGCCCACACAUCAAUCCCGGACAUUCUAACACUUCAAGCUCUACUAGGGACUGCAGGCAUUUCGGUAAUUCCCCAAUCAGUUUUGGACAUUUCCUUAUCAAAAACUUUUCAAGAUGGGGAAAUGUUCCCACAUCUUCCUUAAUGAGAUUAGAAUGAGACCAACUUUCCCAUUCUGGCAUAUCCUCAAACCUCAACUCCUUCAAAGAUGCAAAAGGAUUCAUACUCUCUCCAUAAAAUUCAGCACCUAUGCUUUUAACUUCGCUCAUACCUUCAAUACACAAAACCUUGAGCAUCGAUAGCCCACCCAGAUUUGGUAAUAACGUGCAUUUUUUGCAAUUUUUGAGAGUUAGUUCCACCGUUACUGAGAAUGAGGGAUCUCCUAACCAACUUGGAAAUUUGGAUCCACCAUAAAAUGCAAUUGUGAGCCUUCUUAAAUUUUCACGAGGCUGCAAGGACUCCAAGACACGUAAUUCACGUUUAUCGUUUCGUGCAUCCCAACAGUCAUUACUCCACUGCAUCGUCAACUCUUCAAUUUUUUUUUUAUCUUUUAAAUUAGCAGCUCUUGCCUCUCCAACAUCCACUACCUCUUGCAACCCAGAAAUAGAAAGCACUCCUUGGAGGUUCGAACAAUUCUUGAGUUCUUCAAUUCCGACCCCUCUACUUUUGCUCACAAUGAACCUAGUCAACACUUGCAAAUUUGUGAGGUUGCUUAAUUGGAAAGGCAUUUCUAGUUGUUGACUUGUACCCGUAAUAUCAAGGUGCCGAAGGUUUUUCAGCUUUCCAAUCCCUGUAGGCAAUUUGGUAAGUUGACGACAACCACGUAAUAUCAACGUUUGUAAAUUAUAAAGAUGGCCCACUGAAUUAGGUAGACUUUGUAUAUUAGAUUCGGAAAAAUUGAGAUAACGCAGAUGUAUUAACUCACCAAUCGAACUUGGUACUUCACCCAUGCAAUAACCAGCCAAAGAUAGUACCCUUAAGCAUCUCAUUGGCAUUAUUAGGUCAUGUACCACCUGCUUAGAUAUAUAUCCAAAUGGAUACUUCAUGAUUGAUAAUACUAUUAACGUGCGUAGGUUCUUCACUUUAUCAAAGGCUUUAAAUUUUCCAACAACCUCGUAAACUUGCCGAGUGAAACCUGAAUGACGAGCUCUUUCACAAAUAGUAUGUUGCUGAUUAUUUUCAAUUUUUUCCUCCAAAUUAAAACAUACACCUCCAGCAACGAAUUGAGCAAGAUCAUGAACAAGAUCAUGCAUCACAAAUUGUGAUGAACUAUGAUUUGAUUGUUGGAAAAAUGACCUUGCAAAUAAUUCAUGAAAGAAUUCGGUGCCUAUCUCCUCCAUUUGCUUCUGUCUAUUUACUUGAUGCAAGAAUCCCUCUCCCAUCCACAGCAAGACUAAUUCAUCCACAUCGAAUUCGUAGUCCUUCGGAAAUAUAGAGCAAUAAGCAAAGCAGCACUUCAAAUGUGAAGGAAGAUGAUGAUAACUCAAUUUGAGAGCUGGAAGAAUAGUGUUAUUCUCUUGAUCUGGUAAGUCCCAUAUCUUGCUUUUCAGUAUAUCCUCCCACGCAUCACGAUUCAGUUUUGUGCGCAACAUUCCUCCCAAGGCCUUUGCAGCCAAAGGUAGCCCUUUGCACUUUUUCACUAUUUCUUCACCAACAACUCUCAGGUGUGGAUGAUUAUGGAAGUUUCUUGUACCUAAUGCUUGCUGGGCAAGCAAAGACAAGCACUCAUCAUUGGAUAACUCCUUGAGGGGAUAGGCUGAGCUGGCUCCGAUGGCUGAUACAACCCCUUGAUUACGAGUUGUGACAAUAACCCUGCUGCCUUGUGCUCCAGUCCUCAUUGGAGCGUACAAAGUAUCCCAUUUAUCACAAUUCUGAUUCCAAACAUCGUCUAAAACAAGAAGAAACUUUGUUCCAGAGAGUUUCUCUUUCAGUUUGACUUGAAGCAGGUUGAGAUCGUUGAAAUCGGACAUAUCAGAAGCAACAGACUGAACAAUUGUCUUUGUUACCCUCAAGACAUCAAAAUCAUCAGAGACACAAGCCCAAACUCUUAGAUCAAAAUGACUCUCCACUUUGUCAUCGUUGUAGGCAAGCUGAGCAAGAGUAGUUUUGCCCACGCCUCCCAUGCCAAUUAUGGGAAUGACACGGACUGCGUCAUCACUUGGCUCAUGAUCGUGGAGCAACAAGUCGAGUAUGGCUGCUUUAUCGGUUUCCCUACCACAAACACGCGAUUCAUCUACCAAAGAAGUGGUGGGUAGUAUUUCUGUUGCUUUGGCGGACCUUUUCCCGGUAACUUUUUCAGUUAAAAGGAGAUUAUUUUGCUGUGAAGAAAUAUCUUGCAACCUUUCAGUGAUCUUCUCUAUCUUGGACCUCAUCUUAACAUUGAACUUAAUAGCACUUGGAGUGAAGCUAGUACAACAAGAAGGGAUAAGGCUCCGGAACUUACUUGUACUGGGUUGAGUUUCCGCCAUCAACUUCCGCCCCAAAGCUUCAGUGGCCAAUUCGUCCAGGAUGUCCUCCACAUCAUAAGCCAAGUCUCUGAGGUCGUCGAGCCAUAUCUUCACCACUUGGUUUUCCAUCUGCUUCUCCUCCGCAUCCUCCAGCACGGCAUGAAUUUUCUUCAGUGUUUUCUCCCACUUGUUGAGCUCAGCAUGAACUUGCACUUGGCGAGCAUAAUCGAGCAGGUCAGAAGAGAUCAACUCGUCCAACAGAGUCUUAAAGAAAGAAGAGAGAAAAGCCUCUCCAACAAAAGCCAUGGAAGCAAGUACGAGAAAUCAAAGGCAGAGAAACGACUCAGAAUCAGAACAGCACAAGUAGAAAGUCAGACAAGGUUGGUUAUGGAGCAAUUAUAGAUUACAAUGUCAUUCCUCUUUGACCACACCCAUAUUCAUCACUUUGUACGGUUGAGAUCCUCCAAUCAAAUUGUGAUUAUAAUCACAUAUUUGAUGUUAGCACACUGUAUUAAGAUUCCCUUUUAUUAAUCUAAUGAUACUUAACAACUCCUGCAAUUGAUCUUUUAUUAAUACUCAUCACAUUAAUUAAAAAUUCAUCUAAAAUGUAAGGAAUCUCCAGCAAAUUUCUUGACGUGUGUAUGCAUAUUUUUAUAUUGCAAGUGGGUUUCCCACUCUAUAUUUUAGAUUAAUCUUAACAGCUGCCCUUUGUCCCCAUCUAAUUUGGAUCAGGAAUAUUGUCGGCCAACCAGAAAACUAUCUGUUUUUUACUCUUCAGAACAGAAAAUAGAUUUUUUUUUUAUUGUUUUCAUUUAUUUUUGAAUGCUAUUUUAAAAAAAUAAUUAUACGAAUAUGCAAAAUAAUUAAAAAUAAAACAUUAGAUGUAGAAAUUAUUUUUAAAACAUAUUUAAAAAUAUUAAAAAUAUUUUAGAUUUUCAAAUUGACUUUUAUUCUAUAAAACCGUUUAAAAAAAUUAUUCUAAAAAGCCGUUUUUCAUAACUAUUUUAAAAAACAAUUACUAAAGAAAACAUUAGUGCCUCUUUUCUAAGAAAAAAGAAUUGAAACUCAUUUUAAUUCUAAAUUUAUUAAUUUUUAUUUAAUAAAACUACCUAGUUAACUCCUAGAAAAAACAAAUUUUAAUUUUGAUUUUGAAUCUCACGCUUGAUUUUGAUUUGUUUAAUUUAUUAGGGUUCACCAAUUCGUGGAGUGCGAGUAAGGACGAAAACAUCGGGAUAUAUCGGCAAUAUAUCGGAAAAGGUGGAUGCAAUAUAUAGGUAAAAUAUAUUAUCCGAUAGAAAUAUCUUGAUGAUAUAUCGGUAAUCAUAGAUAUAUCGACAAUACAAGCAAAAUAUCCGCCUUAAAUGAAAAAAUAUUUAAAAUUUUGAAAAUAUAUUAAAUAUAUAGAGAUAUAUCGGUGAAAAAUCGAUUAAAAAAAUUAAAUUAUUAUAAAUAAGUUAAUUUUAAUUAUAUUAUAAUUUAUUUUAUAUACUAAGUAAAUAUAAAACAAAUACAAAAUCAUAAAUAUUUUAUGUGAAAACGUACCAAUAUUUUUAAAUAAAAAUCAUAAAUACAUUUAAAUCACAUAAUCAGUAUAGUUGCAACAAUUUAGUUUUAAAUUAAUAAUUUUAUUUUAUUUUGAUAUUCAAGUAUAAUAAUAAUAUAUUGAGAAUAAAUUUACUUAGUAUAUUUUUAAAUUAAUACAAUACUAAAUUUAAAUUAGUAUAUUUUUAUAAUUAAUUAAUAUAUUUUCAAUAGAUGUAAGUAAAUUAACUUAAUAUAGUAAUAUAUUUAAAUCACAUAAUUAAUAUAUUUAUAAUAAUUUAACUUCAUAAUAAGUAUACACUUACAAAAUUUACUUUUCUUAUUGACCAACACGAUAUAAUUAAAUUUAAUAUCCCAAAUUAUAUAUAUGUCAUUUCUUUCAACAAAACAAUUUUAAAAUGUGUAUUAUACUUUUAAUUUCAUUUUUAAGAGUUUUUUCUCAUAUUUUUAUAAGUUUUGAUUAAUUUUUGAUCUAUCGAUAUUUUGUGUCAAAAUAUCUAUCGAUAUUUUGUGUCAAAAUAUCUAUCGAUAUAACUCCGAUAUAUUCAUAAAAUUUCAUUAUCAAUAUAUUCGUGAUUACUGAUAUUUUCAUUUUUGAGUGUGAGACAUUUAAUAAAUUAGUCUCCAACUUGUUGGUAAUAGCAUGGAGUUGUUGGGGGUGAGGUCCAGACCGGGUGUAAAGAAGAAUUUGCAUUAUUGGUAGUAGUUGCAUUUGUGGUGUUUGAAAUAAGAGAAAAUAAAAGAAAAGAAAAUGGUUUUUGUAAUACAAACUGUACACUAGAAUAUCCAUGUUAUUAUUUAAUAACAUUGCUUAAAAUUAUUCAGAAGUCAUCAAACAUGUAGGCUAUGUUUGGUUGUGAAAAAUUUGAGUGAAAAAAAUUGAGGAAAGUGGAAGGAAAUAAAAAAAGUAAAGAAAAAAAAUAGAUUAAAAAAUAAUAAAUUAUUUUUAUAUGUUUAUUUAAACUCGUUUAAUUUAUUUUUCUCCAUUGUAUCUGUUCGCGGUGCAACAUAUAUGGUGAAGAAAAAUUAUAAGAUUUUUUACGAUUAUGAUGUUUUAUGUCUAUGCGGUAGUUGCUUGCUUUUCUCUCCUCUUCUCUCCCCUUCUCUCAUUUUGUACUAAUUUUUGACAUAGUGAAUUUUCUUCUCCUUCACUUAUAGUUUUUUUCAUUUUUUUUUACGUAAAUUUGUGUGUUUUUAUUUUAUUUUUCUUCAUAUUAUCUAUCAUCAUUUUUUCGUAACAAUAUUAAGAUUAAAUAAUUUCAAUUUACAUAAAUUUCUAAGUAAUUUUAAUUAUAUUUUAUUUUCUUUCAUAUUUUUCAUAGUAAAACUAAACAUAAGAGAACUAUUUUUCUUAGCAUUUUUUUUUUUCUUAAUAUUUUCUGGUAACAAAAUAUAGUUGUAGCCUUAUUUAAGUGUUUUUCUAUUGUACUAACUAUAUACUAAUUUUUUUAUCAAAAUUGAAUUUCACCUGGAAAUGGUUUGAUACACCUCAUUUCUAAACUAACAUAUAAAUAAUAUAUAUAUAUAUAUAUAAUUUUUCUUUUCAAAAAAAAAAAGAGAAAAGAAAACCUAUUUUAACUAAUCUAACCUCAAAUUAAUUCCAUGACAUUACACAUUUUUUUAAGUUAAUCAUUAUAAGUGAUUUCGUUUACAUAUUUUAAUGACAAAAUUUGUUUAAAGUACAAUAUUGUACAAAGUAAAUGUAGAAAAAAAAAAGCCUUAAAAAACAUAAGAAGUGACUUCUGCCAAAAGUAAAAGAAAAAAUAUUAAAAAAAAGAAGAAUAUGUUUUCAUGUUUUAUUUUAUUAUAAGAAAUAUAAAAGAAAUCAAACAAAAUUAAAAUUAGCCAAAAUUUUAUAUAUUUUAAAAUUAUUUAAUCUUUAUAUAUGAGAAUUAAAGCAAGUGAAAUGAGUUGAAGUAGCUUUUUUAUUUUUCUUUUCUUAUGAUUUUCCUUUCUAUUUUUUUCUUCCAUUUUUCUUCAAAUUUUCUGAAUCCAAACAUAACCUAAAAGUUUAAGAAUAUCAAGAGCUAACAUGAGAUGUGGAAUUGACCAAUUCAAAAUUAUUUUGGCAUGCUUGAUAGAACUAUUGUCCAUUUGGGGAAGUUUCUUCUUCUAUAGAAUUCGCCUAUAAACUUUUUCAGAUUUCUACAAGUUCAUAGCAAUUCAAGCACAUUUAUACCAUUCCCUUCAUUUUACAAAUAAUCAAAAUCACUUUUUCAUUCUACCAUUUACUCUUUAAUGUUCUCCUUUCUCUUUACAUUAAUAUCCAUCGUAUCUCUAAAAUUUUCUAUAACCUUGAAAGAGCAGAUAUCCCCAAAGCAACUAUGAGCUUUUUUAGAUUUCUAUGAGGUCGUAGUAACUCAAGCACAUUCAUAUGGUUCCCUUCAUUUUGAAAAUCCUCAAAAUCACUUUGUCAUUCCAUCAUUAACUUUUCAAUGUUCUCCUUUCUCUUUAAAUUAGUAUCCAUCAAUCAGAUCUCCUCCACAUUAUUAAAAUAUUUAGGCUCCAUUUCUUGCAUGACGUUCCAAGGAGGCUAGGGACUCCAUCAUCCAGAUUCCAAGACAGGUGAGAGAUGUAAGAAGAAGACACUCAUCAUUUGAAAGGAAACCAUUUAUGAGAGAACAUCUCAAAUGCACAAUGACGAAAUAAGCUUGGGACUUAUGUGUUAACAAAAAAGUAUUUUAUUCAUUUUUUAUACAUUAUUUUCAAUAGAAAAUAGUUCUCAUUUUCAUUUUCAAACAGGUUCUAGAACUUCUAACUUUUCUCUCACUAGCCUAAGUAACUUAAGCAACAUUGAAAAGACAUCUAUAUUUUGGGGUUAAGCUUCCAAUUGCGUUGAUUAAUGGAGUUGAAGUUUUGGCUGCACCUAGACAUGUAUGUUUAUGGUUUCAUUUUAAGUUGUGUCAUCAGCCCCUCAUCCUCUAAGACAAAAAAGUUUAUGACACAAGAAAUGGGCAUUCGUGAAAGCAAUGAAAUUAAAGGUACAACAAGAUUUACGCAAAAAACCCUCCAAUAAUGAGGGAAAAUCCAUGGGCCAGUAUAGAAAUAAUCCUCUAUGGUAAAAAGGAUAUUAUAGUAUCCUCACAAAUUUCUUUUUAAAAAGAAAGGAAAAAAACUCAAGGUAUUACAACUUUUAAGAAAAUAAAAAUGUUCAAAUCACCAUACCAGAGAACCAAAUCCUAUAGAAACAUCUGCUACUAAUGUCUAAGGAGAAAACAAGCUUCACAUUUCUUACAUUCUACACUAAGCACCAAAACCAAAGAUGGUUGAUUUUGCUUCAGCGACUACAAAUGUAAAAGCACAACAUUGAUGUCCUUAAGUUGAGUUCUUCUUGGAGAGCCAAAAGCGUCAAAAUUCCUUUCAUUUUUAUGCCAUCAACUAGCAGAAAAGUCAUGGUAUGGCAAAUCCAUCGAGCUUCCACCACCUACCACCUUACAUUCAGGAAGUACCAAAAAAAGGGAAAAAAGGGUUAGCCCAAUUGAAUAGAAUUUGCCUAACAAAGCAUUGUAAGUGUGAUCAUUGCCCCCAAUGUGAAAUGCUCCUCAACACUUACGUACACAAACAAUGAACUAUAAAAGUACUCAUUGAAAUUCUAAUUAAGAAGCACUUGAGCUGGUGGAAGAAAUACAAUGGCAUGAAAAUUAUGACUUACACAACAAAGAAACCUAUGAAUUCUAUUCAACAAACAAAAAGGAAAACCAUCAACUAUGAUUGAGUCAAUAACAUACCGUCAUACAUUUGUUAGGAACUUAGUCUGCCACUGCAUUAUUUUUCUCCCUCCUACAUGUAGAAAAGAAGUUUCUAUUAAUUAUAGAAGUGGAUAUUUAGACCAAGGAAAAACAGACUUAAGCAUCGGUGGUUAGUCAAGCAUACCUGGGUGAAGGAAAGAAUGAUCCAUCUCUCAACUUCUAGAGUAGGAAUAACACAACUCAAUUUAAAUUCAUAUUUCCAAUGAGGUCAUGUUGCUGAAUGUUGGAGAUGUAGGCAAUACUGAUCCAAACUUUCUCCUUUCUCUUUUAAGCAAUUUUGUCUCACAACAGGAAAAUUCUGGAUUUCAAGCACUAGGUGUUGUGUUCAGCUCUUUCUUCAGCAGUAGGGACCAAAGCUUAGCACAACUUAAGAUGAAUAGCACUUGAAGAAACUUUCAGCAAAAAUUAAGCUAACCUGAAGUUAGAGAAACAAGCAGAAUGAAUUUUUUAUCCGUAAAGGCCUGGUGCACCAGUGCCACUCAUAGAGAGGCGUCUCAAGCUUCCCACAAUUGAACCCAAACUAAACAAUGGGGCCAAACCCCUUUCCAUAAAUUACGGAACACCUGAACAAUCAAGGAUCAACCUUGGUAAUGAACGUAAAAAUGGAAAAGAAAAAAUUAAUGAACAAAAUUAAAAUAUUAAAAAAAUAAAAAGAAAAAGGGAAAAACCUUGAGUUGUGAUGAGUUUUGAAAUGCACCUUUUGUCUUUCUACAUGUGCAGAAAAAUUAGGGAGUUAAGAUUAUUAUUAUGAUGUUAAUGGAAUUAUGGGAGUAACUUAUUAAUGGGUUGGUCUCCGCUUCCAUUUUUGUGAUUGAAAAAUAAAAUCCAAUUUGAAAUUGAUUCAUGUGUUAAAAACCUAGCUUUUCCCUCUACAUAGGGAUGUGAAAAUCUUAGGUCAAUCAUAUUUACAUGUUAAUUUAAAUAUUUGAGAAAUUAAGAAGCCAGUACCAUUUCUAUGGACAAAAACCAGCUUCAUCAAAUUGUUGGAAUAGAAAUAAGCAAAUGUGUUUGAAAUAUUGAAUGAAGAAACCAGGUCAAUUGGAACUAAACUAAGCAAGUGCAACCAGAAAUCUUCUUAAGAUCAAACUUAAGCCACAAUAAAAUUGUUGCAAUCGAAUGAAUAAUUGAGAACAACAUACUAGCAUGUGAAUAAAGGGUGUUGACUCGAAUUUCAUCUACCUCUUCUAUACUUCUUACAUACAACAAUAUGAGGUCUGUUAGCUUAAGGGUGCCAUGCAAAAGGAAAUAUGAUUUAAUCAUGUAGAAAGAGAAACAUUUUAGAGAACAAGGAAAUAAGAUAGAUGAGAAAAGAAGAUUCUCACAAUUUUAAAAUUUAGAUGAGAAAAUUUGAAUCGUUGAAAUCAAGGAAGGUCAAGUCAUCUAUGAUUCCAUCCAGCAUCCAAUCUACAAUGUCAUAUCCUGGUUACAAAAUUGCAUUAGGAUAGAAAAAUGUAAAAUAAACAAAAACUCAAAAGUAAAAAUAAAAGAAAUUGGAACCAAGUUGCAAAUGGGCGUACUUUGAAUGCCUUCAUAAAUGCAGGGGAUGUGGGCGACGUUAGACCAAUAUUCUCCUCCCUCUUUUAAGUAUCUUUCUUCUAUGGUAGGACAACCAGAGAUGAAAAGUUCUUCAAGUGUUGCAGGAAGCGGCCCUAAGGACCAGAGGUUAGGGCAAUUUGAGAUAUCUAGGGAUCGAAGAGAGAUGAGGUUGCAGAGAGCCAAGGAGGCUAAGGAUUCCAUUCCAUCGAUAUAAAGGCGGGUGAGAGAAAAGAGAAGACGACUCUCUUUAACCGGAAAGGAAACCAUAUCUGGAAACAUUUCCCUAAUAAUCAAAUGAGAAAGAGUGGUCAGGGUGUCGAAGCCCCACUCAGAUAUGGGCGUUUUCAGAUUCUUACAGUUAUUGAUCCCAAGUGAUGCUAGGUUAGGGGCCAAACCCUCUUUCGGAAAGGACUCCAAUCCUAGGCAUUCGGAUAUGGUCAAGCUGCGCAGAGAUUUGAGGUUUCUCAUUUGAUGUGUUAGAGAUUUAAGAUUCUCACAUCCCUCAAUUUUAAGGUAUUCGAGGUUAGGGAUGGACAAGCCUCUUUCUGGAAAGCACUCCAGACCUCCACAAUCGUUUAUGACGAGCUUCCGAAGGCUGUCAAGGCAUCCUUGUAGGCUUUUCAGAUUUGGAUACUCCAUAAGUUGUAAAUACUCUAGGGCUGUACUGUUGGGUGACAUUUUCUCUGACACUGACUCCAAGUUUGUGCAUCUGGUUAUAGAAAGUUUCUUGAGAGUGAAGGGUAACUCCCCUGUUGGAAAGGAAUUGAGAGAGGAACAAUUAUCUAUUAACAAUGUUUCAAGACAACAAGUGUUGCUGCUGGAGGUUGAAUUGUGGUGCAUCAGCCCCUCUGGUAGAGACUCUAGACUUAGACAAUUUCUAAUACGAAGGUUCUUGAGUGUGGUGGGUAGCUCACCAUUUGGGAAGCAUUUGAGAAAUGGAGAACACUCAAUCGUCAAGACUUCAAGCGGACACGAGCUGUAGUUAUGAGGCAGCGAUUUUAGACCCUCACAAUAGAACAACUCUAGGCGUCUUAGCAUUGGUGGGAAACCCGAAUCAGGAAAUGACUCUAGUUUGGGGCAACUCCAUAUCUCCAGCUCUUCAAGACGUGUGAGAGUUUGCAAUCCAUUCGACAGCUUCUCCAGAUUAGCACAAUCACGUAUUUCCAAUUUUUUAAGAUUGCAAGGCAGCCAUUGCUCCUCCCACAAACAUGUCAGCCCAUCACAAUUGUAUAUCCGCAAUUCUUGCAAGGCUACCAAGGAUCUAGUAAAUCCGGUCCUCAAACAUGUCAAUCUUGAAAUCUGGAUGAGAUUUACAGUAACGAGGGAUGGAAGAUCAAACUGAGCACCUCCCAACACUGCCUCAUCGCAUUCUUUUAAAGUUAAUUCACGGAGAGAUGCAAGUUUUGGAAGCCCACACAUCAAUCCCGGACAUUCUAACACUUCAAGCUCUACUAGGGACUGCAGGCAUUUCGGCAAUUCCCCAAUCAGUUUUGGACAUUUCCUCAUAAAAAACUUUUCAAGAUGGGGAAAUGUUCCCACAUUUUCCUUGAUGAAAUUAGAAUGAGACCAAUUUUCCCAUUCUGGCAUAUCCUUAAACCUCAACUCCUUCAAAGAUGCAAAAGGAUUCAUACUCUCUCCAUAAAAUUCAGCACCUAUGCUUUUAACUUGGCUCAUACCUUCAAUACACAAAACCUUGAGCACCGAUAGUCCACCCAGAUUUGGUAAUAACAUGCAUUUUUGGCAAUUUUUGAGAGUUAGUUCCACCAUUACUGAGAAUGAGGGAUCUCCUAACCAACUUGGAAAUUUGGAUCCACCAUAAAAUGCAAUUGUGAGCCUUUUUAAAUUUUCACGAGGCUGCAAGGACUCCAAGACAUGCAGUUCACAUAUAUCGUUUCGUACAUCCCAAGAAUCAUUACUCCACUGCAUCGUCAACUCUUCAAUUUUUUUUUUAUCUUUUAAAUUAGGAGCUCUUGCCUCUCCAACAUCCACUACCUCUUGCAAACUAGAAAUAGAAAGCACUCCUUGGAGGUUCGAACAAUUCUUGAGUUCGUCAAUUCCAACCCCUCUACUUUUGCUCACAAUGAACCUAGUCAACACUUGCAAAUUUGUGAGGUUGCUAAAUUGGAAAGGCAUUUCUCGUAGUCGACUUGUACGUGUAAUAUCAAGGUGCCGAAGGUUUUUCAGCUUUCCAAUCCCUAUAGGCAAUUCGGUAAGUUCAUGACAACCACGUAAUAUCAACGUUUGUAAAUUAUAAAGAUGACCCACUGAAUUAGGUAGACUUUGUAUCCUAGAGUUGGAAAAAUUGAGAUAACGCAGAUGUAUUAACUCACCAAUCAAACAUGGUAGCUCUCCCAUGAUAUAAUCAGUCAAAGAUAGUACCCGCAAGUAUCUCAUUGGCAUUAUUAGGUUAUGUAACACCUGGUUAGAUAUUUUUCCGGACAAAGUAAAUGAAUCUUGAGGCAUUGUGAUUGGUACUGCUAUUAAUGUGCGUAGAUUCUUCGCUUUGUCAAAGGCUUCAAAUUUUCCAACAACCUCAAAUUCUUGCCGAGUGAAACAUGAAUGACGAGCUCUUGCAGAAAUAGCAUGUUGGUCAUCGUUUUCCAAUUUGUCCUCCAAAUUGAAACAUACGUCUCCAGCAACCAAUUGAGCAAGAUCAUGAAUAAGAUCAUGCAUCACAAAUUGUGAUGAAUGAUGAUUAGAUUGUUGGAAAAAAGACCUUGCUAAUAAUUCAUGAAAGUACGCGGUGCCUAUCUCCUCCAUCUGCUUCUUUCUGUUCACUUGGUGAAGGAAUCCCUCUCCCAUCCACAGCAAGACUAAUUCAUCCACAUUGAAUUCGUAGUCCUUUGGAAAUAUAGAGCAGUAAGCAAAGCAGCACUUCAAAUGAGAAGGAAGAUGAUGAUAACUCAAUUUGAGAGCUGGAAGAAUACUGUUAUUCUCUUUUGGUAACUCCCAUAUCUUGCUUCCGAGUAUUUCCUCCCAUGCAUCACGAUUUAGUUGUGUGCGCAACAUUCCUCCUAAGGCCUUUGCAGCCAAAGGUAGCCCCCUGCACUUUUUCACAAUUCGUUCGCCGACAGCUCUCAAGUGUGGAUGAUUAUCAAAGUUUCUGGUAUGUAUAAAUGCAUGCUGGGCAAACAAAGAUAAGCAAUCGUCAUUUGAUAACACCUCGAGGGGAUAAGCUGAGCUGGCUCUGACAGCUGGUACAACCCUUUGAUCACGAGUGGUGACAAUAACCCUGCUGCCUUGUGCUCCAGUUCUCAUUGGCUUGUAUAAAAGGUUCCAUUUAUUACAAUCCUGACUCCAAACGUCGUCUAAAACAAGGAGAAACUUUUUUCCAGAGAGUUCAUCAUUCAGUUGGACUUGAAGCUGGUUGAGAUCCUUGGCAUCGGAUUUCCUAGAGGUAGAGGCAACUGACUGAAGAAUUGUCCUGGUUACCCCCACGACAUCAAACUCAUCAGAGACGCAAACCCAAACUCUUAGAUCAAAAUGACUCUUCACUCCAUCAUGGUUGUAGGCAAACUGAGCAAGAGUAGUUUUGCCCACGCCUGCCAUGCCAAUUAUGGCAAUGACACGGACUGCAUCAUCACUUGGCUCAUGAUAAUGGAGCAAAGAGUCGACUAUGGCUGCUUUCUCUGUUUCCCUUCCAUAAACAAUAGGUUCAUCUACCAAAGAAGUGGUGUGUGGUAUUUCUCUUGUUUUGGCGGACCUUUUCCCAGAAUUUUUUUCUGUUGAAAGGAGAUUAUUUUUCCGUGAAGAAAUAUUUUCCAACCUGGCAGUGAUAUUCUCUAUCUUGGUCCUCAUCUCAACAUUGAACUUAAUAGCACUUGGAGUGAAACUAGUACAACAAGAAGGGAUAAGGCUCCGGAACUUACUAGUGCUGGGUUGAGUUUCCACCAUCAACUGCCGCCCCAAAGCUUGAGUGGCCAAGUCGUCCAGGAUGUCCUCCACAUCAUAAGCCAAGUCACUGAGGUCGUCCAGCCAUAUCUUCACCACCUUCUCUUCCAUCUGCUUCUCCUCCGCAUCCUCCAGCACGGCAUUAAUUUUCUUCAGUGUUUUCUCCCACUUGUUGAGCUCAUCAUGAACUUGCACUUGGCGAGUAUAAUCGAUCAGGACCGAAGAUAACUUGUCGAACAGGGUGUCAAAGAAAGAAGAGAGAAUAGCCUCUCCAACAAAAGCCAUGGUAUCCUUAUCGAAAAGGGACGGAAGCAAGAGAAAUCAAAACUCAAACUCCCCAGAACAAGAAAGGAUUUUGGUUAG
This 40159-nucleotide long non-coding RNA is filed under the name Vitis vinifera (wine grape). RNAcentral describes it as "long non-coding RNA (VVIN_LNC004318)". Lineage: Eukaryota; Viridiplantae; Streptophyta; Magnoliopsida; Vitales; Vitaceae. The record is from RNAcentral.